RNAcentral lists this non-coding RNA (31 nucleotides) under Rattus norvegicus (Norway rat). Lineage: Eukaryota; Metazoa; Chordata; Mammalia; Rodentia; Muridae. The record is from RNAcentral.
UCAAGUCAACAUUGAGAGCCUGACUCUAGAU